CGCAGGCGGUUUUUUAAGUUCUGAGGUGAAAGCCUCCGGCUUAACCGGGGAGGGUCAUUGGAAACUUGGGGAACUUUGAGUGCAGAAGAGGAGAGUUGGAAUUCCACGUGUAGCGGUGAAAUUGCGUAGAGAUGUGGAGGAACACCAGUGGCGAAGGCGACUCUCUGGUCUGUAACUGACGCUGAGGAGCGAAAGCGUGGGGAGCGAACAGGAUUAGAUACCCUGGUAGUCCACGCCGUAAACGAUGAGUGCUAAGUGUUAGGGGGUUUCCGCCCCUUAGUGCUGCAGCUAACGCAUUAAGCACUCCGCCUGGGGAGUACGGUCGCAAGACUGAAACUCAAAGGAAUUGACGGGGGCCCGCACAAGCGGUGGAGCAUGUGGUUUAAUUCGAAGCAACGCGAAGAACCUUACCAGGUCUUGACAUCCUCUGACAAUCCUAGAGAUAGGACGUCCCCUUCGGGGGCAGAGUGACAGGUGGUGCAUGGUUGUCGUCAGCUCGUGUCGUGAGAUGUUGGGUUAAGUCCCGCAACGAGCGCAACCCUUGAUCUUAGUUGCCAGCAUUCAGUUGGGCACUCUAAGGUGACUGCCGGUGACAAACCGGAGGAAGGUGGGGAUGACGUCAAAUCAUCAUGCCCCUUAUGACCUGGGCUACACACGUGCUACAAUGGACAGAACAAAAGGCAGCGAAACCGCGAGGUU
RNAcentral lists this ribosomal RNA (699 nucleotides) under Bacillus subtilis. RNAcentral describes it as "bacterial SSU rRNA". It matches the Rfam family "Bacterial small subunit ribosomal RNA", at positions 570 to 1264 of the family's 1533-position model. The record is from RNAcentral. Lineage: Bacteria; Bacillati; Bacillota; Bacilli; Caryophanales; Bacillaceae.